Long non-coding RNA from Silurus meridionalis, 272 nucleotides. RefSeq lists it as uncharacterized. The transcript has 3 exons. Lineage: Eukaryota; Metazoa; Chordata; Actinopteri; Siluriformes; Siluridae. The record is from RefSeq and is a predicted model, not a curated record.
GUGUGGAGUCACUGAUCUGUACUUCUGAACAAACUCACUGGCAGAGAAUUAGUGGUUGGAUACACAAUCUCACACUGAUAUGACACGGCAAAGAGGACUCACACUGUACAUGCGAUGUCUGUUUGUCUUGUUUGUUGUUGAGACUCAAGUUUCCUGUGUGGAAUUAACUGUAAUUAAUUGCACCCCCAAUAAUACACUGUAUAAACAAGUUGAAAAUGCCCUUUGGAGUAAAAACAUACGCCCUGUUGCACAUCCAAGCGAUGUUCUAACUG